UACAGAGGUCCCAAGCGUUGUUCGGAUUCACUGGGCGUAAAGGGCGCGUAGGUGGCCUUUUGAGUCAGACGUGAAAUCCCCCGGCUUAACCUGGGAACUGCGUCUGAUACUGGAAGGCUUGAGUUCGGGAGAGGGAUGUGGAAUUCCAGGUGUAGCGGUGAAAUGCGUAGAUAUCUGGAGGAACACCGGUGGCGAAGGCGGCAUCCUGGACCGAAACUGACACUGAGGCGCGAAAGCCAGGGGAGCAAACGGG
Molecule: ribosomal RNA, 253 nt
Filed under: uncultured bacterium
Lineage: Bacteria
Description: partial 16S ribosomal RNA
Rfam family: Bacterial small subunit ribosomal RNA
Source: RNAcentral